GGUGCAUUAGUUAAAGCAUUUGGCUCCUAACCAAAAGGUUAGUGGUUCAAACCCACUAGGCGCUC
This 65-nucleotide transfer RNA is filed under the name Loxodonta africana (African savanna elephant). It matches the Rfam family "tRNA". Rfam says of the family: Transfer RNA (tRNA) molecules are approximately 80 nucleotides in length. Their secondary structure includes four short double-helical elements and three loops (D, anti-codon, and T loops). Lineage: Eukaryota; Metazoa; Chordata; Mammalia; Proboscidea; Elephantidae. The record is from Rfam by way of RNAcentral.